This 354-nucleotide transfer-messenger RNA is filed under the name Candidatus Fimenecus stercoravium. It matches the Rfam family "transfer-messenger RNA". Rfam says of the family: Bacterial tmRNA, also known as 10Sa RNA or SsrA, is named for its dual tRNA and mRNA-like properties. The record is from RNAcentral. Lineage: Bacteria; Bacillati; Bacillota; Clostridia.
GGGGAUGAAAGGAUUUCGACGGGGAUGCUGCACCGUGGUAAGCGAGCAGCGGUGGGGUACCGCUUAAAACAGCCUCAGUUUAUGAAAAUAAACGACAAAGAUCAAAAAGUACUUCUUGCUGCUUAAUUAGCGGCAAGCGUUCCUCCCGGAGCACCGCGGCCGGGGCAGGGGCGUCAUCAGCGGUAAAUGUGCACGGGCAAGCGCCUCGUGACCCGUCACACACAACGAGGCUACCGAAGCAAGUUGCCAGCCGUACGGUGACUUUCUAAGGGAAUCUUUAACGCACGGCUACGCUCGUAGAAAGCUGCGGGAACGCGUUUUCGGACGCGGGUUCGACUCCCGCCAUCUCCACCA